RNAcentral lists this transfer RNA (64 nucleotides) under Macropanesthia mackerrasae. Its description in RNAcentral is "tRNA-Thr". It matches the Rfam family "tRNA". Rfam says of the family: Transfer RNA (tRNA) molecules are approximately 80 nucleotides in length. Their secondary structure includes four short double-helical elements and three loops (D, anti-codon, and T loops). Lineage: Eukaryota; Metazoa; Arthropoda; Insecta; Blattodea; Blaberidae. The record is from RNAcentral.
GUUUUAAUAAUUUAAUGAUAAAAUAUUGGUCUUGUAAACCAAAAAUAAGAAACCUUUUAAAACU